GGGUGCCCGCUGAGUCCCAUGGUCACAGGCUUCAUCCGCCUGUGAUUUCUAAAAGGGUCCCCGCUUCGCCGUAACGGAAAAGACCCGUUUCGCGCGGAGCUGGUCCCUCCAGUUCAGAGGGAGUCCGCCAUUGCAGAUGGCGCCACCCCGGAAGUCCCAUGCCCCCAUACCUUUCAAACACUCUUAUACUUACUCUAACAUGGCUUUCCCUAAAGAAUUCUGGGGAAUUCAUUUUGUUAAGGGUGCUGAGAGUUGUCAAGAGAGCUACGUUUCCCAGAGUUCCCUAGGAAGAGAGAUUGUUGUCAGAUUACUCUGGGAAUUGUAGCUUUGAGGGGAGAAUACAGUUGUACCUCCACUUACAUAUCCCUCCGCUUACGUAAACUUCAGGAUUCAUAAGCGGCAAACCCAGAAGUAUAUUUCUGGGUUUUUGCCGCGCACGCAUGUGCAGAAGCGCUCUACCGCCACGUGCACAGAAGCGGUCCCUCCGGUUGCGGAAACUUCGGGAUCCGACCGGAGCUCUGGAAAGGAUCCCGUCCACAACCAGAGGUGCCACUGUAUAGGGGCCUACUAGCCACUCUCACCACACUUAACAAACCACAGCUCUCAGGAUUCUUGGCGGGGGCGGGGGAGGAGUAAGGCUAUUUAAAGUGGUAUCAUAGUGUGUUAAGUCUAUGGUGUGGAUGUGACCAAAGUGCCCCCACUUCCUGUUUUCUCCACCUAUUCUGAUCUCUACCUCUACCUCCAGAUCACUUUCCUACCCACACCAGGUCCAAGGGAGACCAGCUGCCGCUCCAUAGGAAGGCAGGCUCCUUUGAACUUAAUAGUUCUCUGAAUAUUAUUAAUAUGCCCCAACUAGAAUUUGGUGUUUGUGUGUCCAAGAUUGGUUAACCGUGGAUUCUUUUUACUGGACCUCUCUCUUUGUUAAAGCUGCAGAUUUUGGUUCCAGAUGUUUGAGCUAUUUUUCAUUUGGCUCACAAACAAGCCACCCAAAACAUUCCACAUAAUGGCAGGGGAAACGGCUUUCCAGAGCGCCUCUGUGAUGCAGAGAGACAGUCACUCAUAUUCCUUCAGGGAGGCUCUUUCCAGAUGGAUAUUUGUCUUCCAAAUUGUUCUGGGAGUCAUGAAAGUGGUGACAAAAAAAUAAUAGGUUUUUCUUCAUUAGGCACCAAAGCAUCUUCUUUUGACAUGGUUUUAUUGGUGUAUUCAUAAGCACUAUGGAUGCAUUAUUCUGGCUUGUUUCUGUCCCAGAUCAAAGUUAUGGGUUUGUCUGUUCAAAUCCAAGAUAGCACUUUUCAAAUCUGCUGGAUUCAUUUGGUUGGGUUGUGGAAGAGGGCACAGUUUUGGCAUUUCCUCUUUGGGAGAUUCGCUUUGCCCUUCCUUUGAUGGCCAUGUGAAAAUAUUUCUCUUCAAGAAGACGCUCGGCCUGCCUGUAGAGUGGCUGUGUGCCCUGCUUGGCAGCCCUUUGUUUGAAGGAGUUAUCUGUUUAAAAGGCUGUCUGGUUUAAGUCUGGUUCAGAGAUAAAGAACCUUAAGAUGUUGGGUGACUGUGAGAAUCUAACACAGGGGUAGGCAACCUAAGGCCCGGGAGCCGGAUGCGGCCCAAUAGCCGUCUCAAUCCGGCCUGCGGACGGUCUGGGAAUCAGCGUGCUUUUGAGUAGAAUGUGUGCUUUUAUUUAAAAUGCAUCUUUCGGUUAUUUGUGGGGCAUAGGAAUUCUUUCAUUAUUUUUUCAAAAUAUAGUCCGGCCCUCCACAUGACUGAAAAAGGUUGCAGACCCCUGAUCUAACAUAAGGCAGCAUGUCUCCUGUCUGGUGGGAGUGUGUGUUAUCAUACGAACAUAAUAAGAGUCCUGCUGAAUCAGGCCAGUGGCCCAUCUGGUCCAGCAUCCUGUUCUCACAGUAGCUGACCAGAUGCCAUUGGGAAGCCCACAACCAGGACCUGAACACAACAGCCCCUACUUGUGAUUCCCAGGAACUGGCAUUCAGAAGCAUUUACUGGUACUGCCUCUGGCAUUGGAGGUAGAACCAUCAAGAUUAGUAGCCAUUGAUAAACCUUGGCUACUAAUCCUGACACCUCAGACCCAAGGGUCAAUGCCGUGCUCCGGGGCUUUCUGUCUGGCCUUUGAUACUCUCCCCAGGCCACUCCCUCCUGAGCCACACCCCUCACCAGCCUUCUUUGCAUCCUCUAGUGUUCUUGCGUGGUUGGAAUUUGUCACUGACCUCUGACACUUUGCUUUCCUGCAUGGAGGAUAGAGAAGGAUGCCUGAGUAUAUAGAACUAGCCUACUAUUCAGAUGUAAAAUUCCCAUCUCUUGCUCUGCCCUCUUUUGCCUCUGGCCCCACCAAACACUGGCAUGUCCCGUUGCUCCCCCCCCCCCAAAAAAAAAGGUUGGCUAGAAGCCCUCUGAGUUUAAAAUGUUUUCUCUCCCACAUCUAUCCUUCAUUACUUGAGGCUGCCGAUAAUUUAGUCUUGCUUUGCAUGUCCUAAAUUCCUUUCAGGGAGGAUUGAAUAAAAAUGCAAUCAAUGAAUGAAUAAACUUAAACAAACUUUAAACAAAUAAGGCUCAACACACAGGGACAGAAGAGUUCUUAGUCAGACUUUACUUAGCCUCAAUCUAUACUCUGUUACUUGAGACUGCUGGUAAUUUUGUCUUGUUUUGCAAUUUGUCAUCCCAUUAGACCAAAUUAGAGUCAGACCUUUCCACCCUCUCCCCCAGCAUCUGGCUUUGUGGUCAUGUAAAUCUCAAAGAGGGAAAUUCCACUUGAAGGUAGUAGUAUGAGACUCGGGCAGUAUAAGUCAUCAGUGAUUCAGCCCGCUCAAUCUGGUUUCUGAAUAGUUUUGGAGGCUUCAAUGCAACAACAAAACCUGACACCCCUCCUUUUAUAAGAAGACAAGGGAAUUAACCCUCUGAGCCAUACUUCUUUGUGAAUACCCGCUGCCACGCAAUCUAGAGGUUGCCUGAAAAUCACACUCAGAAAACAUUGUUGCAAUUUCACCUGUAAACAUGCACUUGGAAGAGAGAUAAAGAAGUAGAGAAAGUGUGUUAAGGGGAAGCCAAUCCAUGGAAAAUCAUAAUCUGAAUCCCAAGUUAUGCAGCCGGUUGAGCAGUUUAUUGUACUGUACUGUGAAAUAAAAUGCUUCUAUUAUUUUCACUGCAAUUGAUUCACCAGUGGAAAUUUUUCUCCAUUUUAAAAUUCCAUCUUUUACUUUCAUUGCUGGACCAGAAAAUCAUGGCUUCUUAAAUCCAAACUAGACUUAUAAAACCAUAGGCCUCCUAUAGGUAUAUGGAUCUUCUAUUGGCUUGACUCGAGCUGUUUCAGUCCCUCAGCUAAAAUGAUGGAGCCCUCUUAAGCUCUACCACAUUGCUGUUCCAAUCAUGUGUUCUGGCAUCUAACCCUAUCUAUAUGCACAUUAUUGUUAUUAUUUAAAGUAUUAAAAAAAUUAUAUUCCACUUUUCUGGCCAAUGCGUGUCCAAAGUGGCAUAGAAUC
This is a non-coding RNA of Podarcis lilfordi (Lilford's wall lizard), 3485 nucleotides long. NCBI's taxonomy places the organism in Eukaryota, Metazoa, Chordata, Lepidosauria, Squamata, Lacertidae. The record is from the annotation of a GenBank genome assembly.